Long non-coding RNA from Serinus canaria (Common canary), 1203 nucleotides. RefSeq lists it as uncharacterized. Lineage: Eukaryota; Metazoa; Chordata; Aves; Passeriformes; Fringillidae. The transcript is spliced from 2 exons. The record is from RefSeq and is a predicted model, not a curated record.
UGGGGCGCCGCCUUUUUGCCGUACGAAAGAGGUGUGCCAGGCGCCUCCAUUUUGCUGUACGGCAGAAGGUUGGAGGACGCCGCCAUUUUCUGAAAAGGACAGAUCCUGUACACAAUCUCUAAGCUCAAACAAAAGGUCCCUGAGGAAUUCCCGUGGUACCGCGCCAUGUACCACCCUAGCCUGCUGCCAAGAAGACAACAACCCCCCCCUCGGACGGUGAGAGGAGAGGGGGAUAUUUGCAUCUCAGGAAACAUGCAAAUUUCCCCCAAACCCAGACUACUUUAGGACAGGACCUUUACCAAAUUCUGGAAAAUACCCCAAAAGAGACGAGCCGAAACAGAAUUAAAAGGUCAGAGUGGUGUCUGGACAGCAGGGCCGAGGUCCGAAGCUGGAAGAGACACUUGAAAACCUUGGUCACUCCUCGCCCUAACUACAAACGAUGUCAGUCAGACCCAGGACCCGCUGGACUGAUAACCCAAACUGAGAAACCCUGGGUAUACCCCACUGCCUUGUGAGGACAGGACUCCAGGCCCUGCCCCUUUGGGGACAGAGCUGCAAAUCCUCUCUUCUGAUUCACUGUUGGGAGCGGCGGCAGAACUCCGCGGAUCUGCUGAAACCCCCAUCUUCGAGCUGAUCACUUUAAUAAAGGCAUUAAAAGGAGGAGAAUCUCCUGCCCUGUUUAUUUCAAAAAGGAGUCUGCGUCCAGGGGAAUGCCCCAUGGCCUCUCCCUUUAUUCAAAUAAAGUAACGUGACUCCUCUGUCUCCUUUUUGGACAUAAACCUCUGCUGUUUGUGGAUUAAUUUUUCCUUACAAGUAUAAGCCACAUUUUUUACAUCUUGCUCUGUUUGGACUGGCCCACGGGCUACAGCAUGUCACCGACAUAGUUUAUGAAAAAUCCUUUACUUAGGAAUUUUCCUCUCCUGAGAGCUGAGAGGACUCGGAACAAGCCGUAAACAAUUCUUAUUUGCUGCUGUGGAAUGCAACGGGGAGAAAUCUGUGAUUGGCCCCGUCAGACUGUUUGCAAUUAAGAGCCUAUCACAAUUCACCUGUUCGGCCCAUCUCGGGCUGAGAAGACUUCAGUUUACACAUUCUUUUCUAUUCUUAGGAUAGCCUUGGUAGUGAAAUCUCUAGCUUUAUUCUUUUAGUAUAGUUUUUAUAUCUUAUAUAUCAUAUCAUAAUAAAUCAAGCCUUCUGAUGCAUGGA